Molecule: ribosomal RNA, 253 nt
Filed under: uncultured bacterium
Lineage: Bacteria
Description: partial 16S ribosomal RNA
Rfam family: Bacterial small subunit ribosomal RNA
Source: RNAcentral
GACGGAGGGUGCCAGCGUUACCCGGAUUUACUGGGUGUAAAGGGCGUGUAGGCGGUCUCUCAAGUCCGAUGCUAAAGACCGAAGCUCAACUUCGGGGGUGCGUUGGAUACUGUGAGGCUAGACGGUCGGAGAGGGUAGUGGAAUUUCCGGAGUAGCGGUGAAAUGCGCAGAUACCGGAAGGAACGCCAAUAGCGAAGGCAGCUACCUGGACGAUUUGUGACGCUGAGGCGCGAAAGCGUGGGGAGCAAACCGG